This 253-nucleotide ribosomal RNA is filed under the name uncultured bacterium. RNAcentral's name for it is "partial 16S ribosomal RNA". It matches the Rfam family "Bacterial small subunit ribosomal RNA", at positions 524 to 776 of the family's 1533-position model. The record is from RNAcentral.
UACGAAGGGGGCUAGCGUUGCUCGGAAUGACUGGGCGUAAAGGGCGCGUAGGCGGACGGCUUAGUCAGGCGUGAAAGUCCUGGGCUUAACCUGGGGACUGCGUUUGAUACGGGUUGUCUUGAGUGGGGAAGAGGUUAGUGGAAUUCCCAGUGUAGAGGUGAAAUUCGUAGAUAUUGGGAAGAACACCGGUGGCGAAGGCGGCUCCCUGGUCCGGUACUGACGCUGAGGUGCGAAAGCGUGGGGAGCAAACAGG